CUGGUUUGAAGUCUGAAAUUCGAAGUCACUACCCCGCUUUCAUACUAAGGGAGGACGGCCGGGACAGGCUGCCACCCAAGGCGGGCCAGGGAGGACGGUCCGCCAGGGAGGACGGUCCGCCAGGGAGGACGGUCCGCCAGGGAGGACGGUCCGCCAGGGAGGAUGGCCCGCCAAGGAAGAUGGCCCACCAAGGAAGAUGGCCCGCCAGGGAGGACUGCCCGCCAAGCAGGACUGCCCGCCAGAGGGGACUGCCCGCCAGAGAGGACUGCCCGCCAGGGAGGACUGCCCGCCAGGGAGGACUGCCCGCCAGGGAGGACUGCCCGCCAGGGAGGACUGCCCGCCAGGGAGGACUGCCCGCCAGGGAGGACUGCCCGCCAGGGAGGACUGCCCGCCAGGGAGGACUGCCCGCCAGGGAGGACGGUCCGCCAGGGAGGACGGUCCGCCAGGGAGGAUGGUCCACCAGGGAGGAUGGUCCACCAGGGAGGAUGGCCCACCAGGGAGGACUGCCUGCCAGGGAGGACGGCCCACCAAGGAGGAUGGCCCGCCAGGGAGGACUGCCCGCCAAGGAGGACUGCCCGCCUGGGAGGAUGGUCCACCAGGGAGGAUGGCCCACCAAGGAGGAUGGCCCACCAAGGAGGAUGGCCCGCCAGGGAGGACUGCCCGCCAAGGAGGACUGCCCGCCAGGGAGGACGGUCCGCCAGGGAGGA
This 707-nucleotide long non-coding RNA is filed under the name Paramuricea clavata. Lineage: Eukaryota; Metazoa; Cnidaria; Anthozoa; Malacalcyonacea; Plexauridae. The record is from RNAcentral.